RNA transcript from Drosophila montana, 2491 nucleotides. It is a transcript of the gene named phosphatase and tensin-like protein, with no coding region annotated. The record is from RefSeq and is a predicted model, not a curated record. Lineage: Eukaryota; Metazoa; Arthropoda; Insecta; Diptera; Drosophilidae. The transcript has 12 exons.
AGAUAACUCGAGAAUUUACUUAAAAGUGCAUGGGCUAUUCUUUAGGUUUUUUAUUAUAUUUUAUGAUCGUAAGCUAAUAAUGUCAAAUUCGUUAUUUGUGAUUAUUUGGUGAUAUACGUAUAUAUGAGCGAUAAAAAACAAAGUUUAAAUUCCAUAACAAAAAUGUUGACAUCUUCAACUCAAAUAUUAAUAGCAAUGAAAACAGCCCAAAAUUGAAUAAAAUCAGUGUUAAAUCUUCUGAAGGCGAUAUAAAGGAGUUGUAGUGUGUUACAUGUGUUGCAUGUUCUCAACAAAAAUGGUUUAUUCAGGAACGCUUGUAAUAAAUAUAUUGAUAUGACGGGACAUAUUAAUAAUGAAACAGAAAUUAAAGCAUAUAGUUAUAAUAAAAAACAAAUUAUAAUUUAUAAAAGACAACAAUCAUCAUAUUUGGAGACCAAUAUGGCAAACACAAUAUCUAUAAUGUCCAAUGCGUUACGAAAUGUUGUGAGCAAAAAACGCAGACGCUACAAGGAAAAAGGAUUUAAUUUGGAUCUUUCCUAUAUAUGCCCUAAUAUUAUUGCGAUGGGAUAUCCUGCGCCAGACAUAUUCGAAGGCAUUUACCGAAAUCGCCUAGAUGAUGUUUAUAAAUUUCUGGAAGAAAAUCACGGAGAUCAUUACAGAAUAUAUAAUUUAUGCCAAGAACGGAGUUACGACAUUAAUAAAUUUCACAGGAGAGUUGCAACUUACCCAUUUGAGGAUCAUAACCCUCCCACCAUUGAGCUGAUACAACGUUUCUGUCAUGACGUUGAUUCCUGGCUUAACAGAGACCCGUUAAAUGUCGUAGCCGUGCAUUGCAAAGCUGGAAAAGGAAGAACCGGUACAAUGAUAUGUGCAUAUUUGGUCCAUAGUAAAUUGAAGAAAACAGCAGAUGAUGCGUUGGCCUAUUAUGACGAAAAACGUACAAAAGACCGGAAAGGAGUAACAAUUCCAUCUCAACGUAGAUAUGUUCAGUAUUAUUCAAAUUUAAUCCCAGAUGUACGGUAUGAAGUAACAACUCUUUACGUUUCUGAAAUCCGUUUUACCGAGACAAAUUACUUGCAUAAUCUUGGUACAGUGCAAUGUUCAAUUUCUGACAGGCAAGACUCUUCAACAGACAAACUUAAGGCGCAUGAACUGAAAACUUGGACAAUUGAUUUUCAAAAAACUUUUAUAUUGGAUAUAAGUAAUUCACCCUUGACAGUUUCUGGUGAUAUUAAAGUCGAACUUACUCAAAAAUCAUCAAGGAAGAUGAUUUGCCACUUCUGGCUUAAUACAUUCUUUUUGCAAAAUAAUGCGGCUAGCAGUACCGAUGAAAACACCGAUAAAUUUACGCAUACCUUAAUUAAAUCUGAAAUUGAUGGUGCACAUAAAGACAAAGAUCAUAAAUCGUUUUCGGAGGAUUUUAAGAUCUCUCUUGUAUUUAUAAAAGAAAAAAAAUGCUUCGACAGUAUAAACGCUGAACCGUCUGCAGAAAAUAAUUGGAGCCAUAAUCGAAGCUCGGAUUUUUUUCCUGGUGAUAAUGAUAAGAAUCUGAACAGUGAGGGUUCUGAUAUAAACUCUCCGUCCUCAAGUCGUUUGUUCGAAGGUCCAUUUCAUACCAGUGAUGAAAUAGGUGAAACAAAAUCGCACCUAAUAGAACAUAACAGAAAACUUACAAAAAAUCAACACAAAAAAUCAACUAUCUCAAAACUUCCUGCGUUGACAUCUAAACGAAAACAGUCUUCAUCAAAAUGCCCAUUAAGCGUUAGUAAUACUUCGUCAGGCAAGGACAACAAAAAGCUGCAUAUUUUUAAUCAACCGUCCGCUAUACCAUUCGAUAAAGUGCCAAUAAGGAGGCAUCACAAUAAAAUGUAUGAAAAAACCUCUGAUAGUCGACGUAUAUUUGAUCGAUGUAAUAUUUCCAACCUUUCUGGCGGGGAUAAGAUCUUCGAACAGAAGUCAUACAAUAAUUGCAAACGAUCAUCUUCUGACUUGAAUCAAACUGGUGAAGAAGGAGAUGAAGAUUGGGAAUCCGAUCUUAAUUUACAGAACUAUGGAGCUAGUACAACCGGCACUACAUAAGGAGACAGAUUUCAACAAUGUUCCGCUGAGUUCUGAGAAUUGUUACUAAGGCCUGCUGUAUCUACCUUAAGCAGCAGAGUCAUCAAAAAAUGUGAUUUAUAUCCGGGGUGAUAUCAACAUCAACCAUGACAAGAGGUGAUAGCACACCACUCCACACUUUUUGGCUGCCAUUAUGUUAUUUAUUUAUUUUUAAAAUGUAAAAACAACAAGCUUGUACAGUUUAUGUUUUUAAGGAUAAGCUCUAGAAAGCGGUUAUUGUUUUAGCCUAAACUAAAAAUAAGAGUAUAAUUUUAGCUCAAAGAAAAGCCCUGUCACUGUAUAUUUUUGUAGCCUUUCCUGAAAAUAUAAGCAAAAUUAAAUAGUACUGUUGCAACAUGUAAAAUUAAGCUGCACAGUGUUGUUCCACUUCAAA